Armigeres subalbatus is the source of this 456-nucleotide long non-coding RNA. RefSeq lists it as uncharacterized. The transcript is spliced from 2 exons. NCBI's taxonomy places the organism in Eukaryota, Metazoa, Arthropoda, Insecta, Diptera, Culicidae. The record is from RefSeq and is a predicted model, not a curated record.
UCAUUCGCAUAUUGAAUGAUUUCUAAAGCGCGUGUCGCAUUAUUAGUCAGAGAGAAGCACGUAAGUAGACGUGUUGAAAUUCAGACGACUGCAAAAAAGAAAAUUCAUUAUUUUGUUCGUAUUGGCAUAUUGGAUAGUAUUUGGAAUAUCAGAAUCGUCAGAAUCCUUGGGAACCACGGACCUGAAAUGCGGAUCCAACUCCUCACCGAACACAUAACGAGCGGGAGUGAAAACAAGUCAUCGACAACCAAUGGAGAAGUGGACGGCUAUAAAUAUUAUUGUGCACGAAAUCACCGUAGAUGCAAAGCUAAGGGUGAAGUUUCCAAUAGUUUUAAUAUGGUCGAGUCAUAAGUUGUAUAAAUGGGGCGAUUUUAAACCGUGCUUGGCAAUACUUAUCAAAAACCAAUAUUUAUAAUCUAAUAUAUUUAAAUAAAUGAGAUAAUACAUUGAUCUGUA